AGUUAUGUUACCAUACUAAGAUGUCCUAAGAACCGACCCAUUCUUAGAGCAAGUGACGAAGAGUUUGAUGGUUGAUACCCGAGAUCCCAAGUUCAAACCCUAGUUGAUUCACAUUUUCAGCUAAGUUUAUUUCUAAAUGAAAUAAAUAAAGCAGGUAGCGUGCUACUUAUCUCUAAAAAAAAAAAAAGUUCUAAUUGAAAUAAAUAAAGCGGGUAGCAUGUUACCUAUCUCUCUCUCAAAAAAAAAAAAAAAAAAA
This 256-nucleotide long non-coding RNA is filed under the name Ananas comosus (pineapple). Its description in RNAcentral is "long non-coding RNA (ACOM_LNC018668)". The record is from RNAcentral. Lineage: Eukaryota; Viridiplantae; Streptophyta; Magnoliopsida; Poales; Bromeliaceae.